This 599-nucleotide ribosomal RNA is filed under the name uncultured Frigoribacterium sp. RNAcentral describes it as "bacterial SSU rRNA". It matches the Rfam family "Bacterial small subunit ribosomal RNA", at positions 87 to 700 of the family's 1533-position model. The record is from RNAcentral. Lineage: Bacteria; Bacillati; Actinomycetota; Actinomycetes; Micrococcales; Microbacteriaceae.
AGGGAUUAGUGGCGAACGGGUGAGUAACACGUGAGUAACCUGCCCUUGACUCUGGGAUAAGCGCUAGAAAUGGCGUCUAAUACCGGAUACGAGCUUCAGCCGCAUGGCUAGGAGUUGGAAAGAAUUUUGGUCAAGGAUGGACUCGCGGCCUAUCAGCUAGUUGGUGAGGUAAUGGCUCACCAAGGCGACGACGGGUAGCCGGCCUGAGAGGGUGACCGGCCACACUGGGACUGAGACACGGCCCAGACUCCUACGGGAGGCAGCAGUGGGGAAUAUUGCACAAUGGGCGAAAGCCUGAUGCAGCAACGCCGCGUGAGGGAUGACGGCCUUCGGGUUGUAAACCUCUUUUAGUAGGGAAGAAGCGAAAGUGACGGUACCUGCAGAAAAAGCACCGGCUAACUACGUGCCAGCAGCCGCGGUAAUACGUAGGGUGCAAGCGUUGUCCGGAAUUAUUGGGCGUAAAGAGCUCGUAGGCGGUUUGUCGCGUCUGCUGUGAAAUCUGGGGGCUCAACCCCCAGCCUGCAGUGGGUACGGGCAGACUAGAGUGCGGUAGGGGAGAUUGGAAUUCCUGGUGUAGCGGUGGAAUGCGCAGAUAUCAG